Molecule: small RNA, 45 nt
Filed under: Hoylesella marshii DSM 16973 = JCM 13450
Lineage: Bacteria; Pseudomonadati; Bacteroidota; Bacteroidia; Bacteroidales; Prevotellaceae
Description: Prevotella marshii DSM 16973 Acido-Lenti-1 RNA
Rfam family: Acido-Lenti-1 RNA
Source: Rfam by way of RNAcentral
CCCAGCGCGAUGCGCUGGGCUAACAUCUUGUGCUCUUUCAGAGCU